RNAcentral lists this long non-coding RNA (321 nucleotides) under Homo sapiens (human). Its description in RNAcentral is "long non-coding RNA NONHSAT148805.1". The record is from RNAcentral. Lineage: Eukaryota; Metazoa; Chordata; Mammalia; Primates; Hominidae.
ACCUCUGUUCUCUGUAGCUGCCCUGCACCUGCCUGUUCACCCUGUUCCCUUUCCUGUGCUCUGAGUCGUGCAGUCAGUCCUUCAAGGCCCAUUGCAAGUCAUAUCUACAAAACAGGAGCCGCCUGGAUCCGCCCACUACCCCCAGGACUUGUCUCACCUUCCUCUGAUGGCCAUGGUACUGAAAGCGUCUGCUCUCAUCGUCCCCCUUUAUAGUCUAAACAUGUUUUCUGUCUGCUUCCACCGUCACUGAAUUACUCAUUUAUUUGUUAAUGUUUCAUCUCUCCAACUGGACUGCCAGAAAGUUGAGAUAUGGGCCCAAAU